AUGGCCACCUCAUACUUGAAGGAGGUCUGAACAAAAGAUCCAACGUUGUCACCCAAUGUGGUGUUGAAUCAGAUUUUACCAAAGGUAACAGAGGAGAUGAAUGAGAGGCUCUUGGCUCGCUUUUCGGAUGAAGAAAUGUCUAACGCUUUGUUUCAAAUUGGCCCUUUGAAAGCACCAGGACCGGAUGGUUUUCCAUCUCGGUUUUAUCAAAAGAAUUGGGGGUCUUUAAAGGUGUAAAUUAUAGUGGUAGUCUGACAGUUUUUUGAAACUGGACAUAUGCCCAAUGGUGUCAAUGAUACUUCUAUCAUAUUGAUACCGGUACAACACCCGUCAUCUCUAAAAGAUUUCCGCCUUAUCUCGUUAUGCAAUGUUAUCUACAAGAUAGUCUAGUGCAUGGUGAAUCGUCUGCGACCACUUCUCACAGAUUUAAUAUCGGAGAAUCAAAGUGUGUUUAUUCCGGGAAUGCUUAUCUCGGACAACUCUAUCAUUGCAUUUGAAUUCAUUCACCAUAUUCAGAACUCUAUUGAUGGAUCUAACUCUUUUUGUGCCUAUAAGAUGGAUCUCUCCAAGGCGUAUGAUCGCAUUGAUUGUGAUUUCUUGGAGCAAGCAUUAUUUAGGUGGGGCUUCUCUCCCCACUGGAUAUCCAGGGUAAUGGAGUGUGUUCAAUCUUCUAAAUAUUCGGUGAAAUUCAAUGGGCAUCUACUGGAACAAUUUCCAUCCCGUGGGCUUCGUCAAGGUGACAUGUUAUCACCUUUCUUGUUCCUUUUCGUGGCUGAUGCUUUAUUUGCUCUAUUACAUAAUGCGGUAGAAGACAAAGGCCUGGGGACGAUCAAAAUUUUUAGGAGGGCACCCGCUAUUUCUCACUUACUAUAUGCGGAUGACUCCCUCCUUUUCUUCUGAGCUAAUCCGAACCAUGCGGCGAUUGUGAAGGAUGUUUUGAACACUUAUGCUACAACAACGGGUCAAUUUAUAAACCCUUCAAAGUGCUCCAUCCUAUUUGCUAAAAAUUGUCUUGGUCUUAUUUCUCAAGUGGUGAAGGAUACUUUGGGGGUUUCACAAUCUGAUUGUGAUCCCAAGUAUCUUGGAUUGCCAGUUCUAGAAGGGAGAAUGCAUAAAGGCAUGUUUGAAUCUCUGCAAGCUAGAUUGAGUAAGAGACUUUUGGACUAGAGUGAGAGACAUUCCUCAUCUGCAAGUAAAGAAGUUUUGAUAAAAUCGGUGGCUCAGGCCAUUCCCACCUAUGUCACGAGUGUUUUCAAAUUACCGUUUUUAGUUUGCGAUGAGCUGACCAAAAUGAUAAGGCAGUACUGGUGGGGAGUGGAAAAUGGUAAGAAGAAAAUGGCUUGGAUGGUCUGGGAUAAGGUGAUCUUAGCUAAGUCCAAAGGCGAUAUUGGCUUCAGGGACAUGAGAGUAUAUAACCAAGCCUUGCUUGCUAACCAGGCCUGGAGACUUUUAGUGGUCCCUGAAUCCUUGGGUGCAAGAUUUCUUCUAGCCAAAUAUUACCCUAAUGGGAAUUUUGUGGAUACAGUGUUUCCGAGUAAUACUUCUGCAUUUUGGAAAGGUAUCAUGCAUGGAUUGAAGCUUGUGAAGAGAGGCAUGUUGUGGCGAGUAGGCAACAGGGAAAACAUAUGGGUUUGGCGCAACCUAUGGAUUCCUCGCGGGACACCAUAUACUCCCAUACUCCCGAAAGGGAACGGUCGAAUCAAUAGGGCCAUGGACUUCUUGGAUGCCAAUGACGCCUAG
RNAcentral lists this ribosomal RNA (1740 nucleotides) under Triticum aestivum (bread wheat). Its description in RNAcentral is "partial small subunit ribosomal RNA". Lineage: Eukaryota; Viridiplantae; Streptophyta; Magnoliopsida; Poales; Poaceae. The record is from RNAcentral.